Molecule: long non-coding RNA, 467 nt
Organism: Sinocyclocheilus anshuiensis
Lineage: Eukaryota; Metazoa; Chordata; Actinopteri; Cypriniformes; Cyprinidae
Exons: 3
Source: RefSeq, a predicted model, not a curated record
ACCUCCGCUGUCCAUCCAGAACAUCGAUUUGACACUAAUAACCUGAAAAGAUAUCUGUCAGAAAAACUUGACAGCUUUUCAGGCAACAGUAGCAGUACAGAGCUGGGCAAUCCAACCCAACGUUUUACAUUGAGACUGCAGAUAAGCGUUAUGUGCUCAGAUAAAAGCCUCCAGGAGAGCUGCUGCCCCGGAGCUCAUAAGCCUCUUAUGAAGACUUCACAUGACCCAGCACCUGUGAAUAGUGGACUCCAGAUACAAAACGAUGACAUUUUCAUUGCUUUAAAAUGUGCAGAAAGUUUGCUUAAAUGCAUAUAUGGUAUUUGUAAAUACUAUAAUUUGUACUAGACUUCAACUGUUCUUUCUGAUACCCACUCCUAUAAAGACUAUUCUGGUUUUGUAACAGAAAAACAUGCAUUUUCUGUAAAGCUGCUCUGAAACAAUAUGUGUUGUGAAAUGCGUUAUACAAA